GUUUCUUGGAACAACAACCAGCGAUCUGUGCUGCUCUGUUGUCCUCUGACGUCAGGCGGUCAGGAAGUGAUAUUUGCACCCUCAACGAAAAUGGCAUUACAGACGCUGAGGACAUAAUGCAGGCACUUCGACCGAUGUUUGUAGCCACGAAAAUAGUUUCAGAGGAGAAGAAUCCCACUUUGUCCAUCAUUGCUCCAGUGCAUGCAAAGCUGCUAAAUGACACACAUCAGGCAAUGGGGGACAAACCAAUUGUGAGGGACAUCAAACAGGCAAUAAAUCAAGAUCUGCAGAAGAGAUAUAGCACUGUUGAGGAGAAAAACACCCUCCACACAGCAUCGGCCCUGGAUCCACGAUUUAAGUCACUGCCUUUCCUGACCCCAGAUGACAUCAGUGCCACAUAUUCCAAACUGGUUGUGGAGGCAGCCAGCCUUCAGCCCACUAUUAGGCAAGAAGAGACCAGCAGUGCCUCUGGAAUAGAAAUGGAUGGACAGGAUCUUGAGGUGCUUGAAGAGCCACAACCUAAAAGAAGAUCUGGGCUAGCUGAUUUACUGGGAGAAACAUUUUCUACCACAGCCCCACUAAAGUCAGCAUUUUCCCAAGCUGAAGAGGAAGUGAAGAGAUACCAGGAGGCUUCUCCACUGCCACUUUAAGAAAACUCUCUCAACUGGUGGAAAGCUCAUGAGAAAAUGUAUCCUUUCCUGGCCAAACUCGCCAAAAGAUACCUGAGCAUUCCAGGCACAAGUGUGUCUGCUGAAAGGGUUCUGCUGUUCUCCACUGCAGGGGAUAUAGUCACAGCCCAGAGGAGCACUUUAACAUCUGAGCAUGUUGACCAACUGCUUUUUCUGAGCAAAAAUGCCAACAUUCCAAAAUUAAUUUAACAUUUUGGUUCAUGACCUUGCAGCCAACUAGACUGGACUCUAGCAGUUCACAUUUUUGUUUAUUUUUCUCAAGUUGAUCGAAGCACUGAGUUACUCUUAUUUAUAUGAGUAUUCUAAGGUUUAUGUUACUCUAUUAAGUCUGCUUUGUGUUACUCUAUUGUAUUUAAAUAAUUUUAAUUUAUGUGCUGGGAGCUCAGCGUUCAUGUGAGAGGUCACCUAUUCCGAAAUAAUUACAACGGUCCUGUGUCCUGAAUGUUCAAGGACAAAGUUUUGCACUACCCUCCUAAGUUUUUGCACUGUUGUUCACAUAAUUAAAUGUGCCAUUUGAAGUGAGUUGAGCAGUCUUUUUUUCCUCUUUUUUUGUAAUGUCUUUGAAUAAUAUGGGGAACAUGAAUCGCAAUAUAUCGCAGAAUUGAAUCGCAAUACUUGCUGUAUCGCAAUAUAUUGAGAAUCGCAAUAAUAUUGAAUCGUCG
RNAcentral lists this long non-coding RNA (1351 nucleotides) under Gadus morhua (Atlantic cod). RNAcentral describes it as "lncRNA (ENSGMOG00000023231.1)". Lineage: Eukaryota; Metazoa; Chordata; Actinopteri; Gadiformes; Gadidae. The record is from RNAcentral.